Molecule: long non-coding RNA, 603 nt
Organism: Syzygium oleosum
Lineage: Eukaryota; Viridiplantae; Streptophyta; Magnoliopsida; Myrtales; Myrtaceae
Exons: 2
Source: RefSeq, a predicted model, not a curated record
CGAGAAGCUCAGUGGGCAACUGCACAGAGGACUCUGCACGGCCUUCAGCCUCCUGAAACCAGCAACCUUUUCUCUGACAAGAGUAGCUACAGGGAGCUUUCAGAGAUUGCAGACCAAGCCAAGCGACGAGCUGAGGUUGCAAGGCUGCGCGAGCUACAUACUCUGAAGGGUCAUGUUGAAUCCGUGGUCAAGCUCAAAGGCUUGGACAUCGAUUCCAUUCAGCAGCAUUACACAUUCUGAGGGGCUUUUCAUCCGAAGUAGAGGAGAUCAUAUCGUGGAGAAAUGGAAAGUAGCCUUAAGGAUUACGAUGACGAAGAAGCGUAUGGAGCUUUUAUUAGUCUACAGGACAACAGAAAACGAUGUCGCUAGCGGUCAGGGUCGUAGGUUUUUGCUGUGACCAGUUUAUUGCAUGGGUGCUGCUUUCUCUUUGACAGAAUGAGAUUUAACUCUUCCUUUCAAAGUAGCCAUGUUCAAGUAAAUUAUUGAAUCUUGUUUGGAUCUUAAUGAUUUUGUUUUGCUUGAAGCAUAAUCUAGUCCACAAUUCUCAAGAGUGGUCUGCCUGGUAAAAGAAAAGGAAAAACAAAAGGUUAGGCUUCUGGUGAA